AACGAACGCUGGCGGCAUGCCUAACACAUGCAAGUCGAACGAGACCUUCGGGUCUAGUGGCGCACGGGUGCGUAACGCGUGGGAACCUGCCUUUAGGUUCGGAAUAACUCAGAGAAAUUUGAGCUAAUACCGGAUGAUGUCUUCGGACCAAAGAUUUAUCGCCUUUAGAUGGGCCCGCGUUGGAUUAGCUAGUUGGUGGGGUAAAGGCCUACCAAGGCGACGAUCCAUAGCUGGUCUGAGAGGAUGAUCAGCCACACUGGGACUGAGACACGGCCCAAACUCCUACGGGAGGCAGCAGUGGGGAAUAUUGGACAAUGGGCGAAAGCCUGAUCCAGCAAUGCCGCGUGAGUGAUGAAGGCCUUAGGGUUGUAAAGCUCUUUUACCCGAGAUGAUAAUGACAGUAUCGGGAGAAUAAGCUCCGGCUAACUCCGUG
RNAcentral lists this ribosomal RNA (433 nucleotides) under uncultured bacterium. Its description in RNAcentral is "partial 16S ribosomal RNA". It matches the Rfam family "Bacterial small subunit ribosomal RNA", at positions 29 to 507 of the family's 1533-position model. The record is from RNAcentral.